CCUACGGGUGGCUGCAGUGGGGAAUAUUGGGCAAUGGGCGCAAGCCUGACCCAGCAACGCCGCGUGAAGGAAGAAGGCUUUCGGGUUGUAAACUUCUUUUAAGAGGGAAGAGCAGAAGACUGUACCUCUAGAAUAAGCCACGGCUAACUACGUGCCAGCAGCCGCGGUAAUACGUAGGUGGCAAGCGUUGUCCGGAUUUACUGGGUGUAAAGGGCGUGCAGCCGGGAAUGCAAGUCAGAUGUGAAAUCCAUGGGCUUAACCCAUGAACUGCAUUU
This 275-nucleotide ribosomal RNA is filed under the name uncultured bacterium. RNAcentral describes it as "partial 16S ribosomal RNA". It matches the Rfam family "Bacterial small subunit ribosomal RNA", at positions 338 to 628 of the family's 1533-position model. The record is from RNAcentral.